AUACGUAGGUGGCGAGCGUUAUCCGGAAUUAUUGGGCGUAAAGAGCGCGCAGGUGGUUGAUUAAGUCUGAUGUGAAAGCCCACGGCUUAACCGUGGAGGGUCAUUGGAAACUGGUCGACUUGAGUGCAGAAGAGGAAAGUGGAAUUCCUAGUGUAGCGGUGAAAUGCGUAGAUAUUAGGAGGAACACCAGUAGCGAAGGCGGCUUUCUGGACUGUAACUGACACUGAGGCACGAAAGCGUGGGGAGC
This 247-nucleotide ribosomal RNA is filed under the name uncultured bacterium. RNAcentral's name for it is "partial 16S ribosomal RNA". It matches the Rfam family "Bacterial small subunit ribosomal RNA", at positions 523 to 769 of the family's 1533-position model. The record is from RNAcentral.